This 279-nucleotide ribosomal RNA is filed under the name uncultured bacterium. RNAcentral's name for it is "partial 16S ribosomal RNA". It matches the Rfam family "Bacterial small subunit ribosomal RNA", at positions 506 to 784 of the family's 1533-position model. The record is from RNAcentral.
UGCCAGCAGCCGCGGUAAUACGGAGGGUGCAAACGUUGCUCGGAAUCAUUGGACGUAAAGCGCACGUAGGCGGUUCGUUAAGUCGGAUGUGAAAGCCCUGGGCUCAACCGAGGAAGUGCAUUCGAAACUGGCGGACUUGAGUACGGGAGAGGGCUGCGGAAUUCUCGGUGUAGAGGUGAAAUUCGUAGAUAUCGGGAGGAACACCUGUGGCGAAGGCGGCAGCCUGGACCGAUACUGACGCUGAGGCGCGAAGGCGUGGGUAGCGAACGGGAUUAGAUA